GACGAACGCUGGCGGCGUGCCUAAUACAUGCAAGUAGAACGCUGAAGAGAGGAGCUUGCUCUUCUUGGAUGAGUUGCGAACGGGUGAGUAACGCGUAGGUAACCUGCCUUGUAGCGGGGGAUAACUAUUGGAAACGAUAGCUAAUACCGCAUAACACUGGAUGACACAUGUCAUUUAUUUGAAAGGGGCAAUUGCUCCACUACAAGAUGGACCUGCGUUGUAUUAGCUAGUAGGUGAGGUAACGGCUCACCUAGGCGACGAUACAUAGCCGACCUGAGAGGGUGAUCGGCCACACUGGGACUGAGACACGGCCCAGACUCCUACGGGAGGCAGCAGUAGGGAAUCUUCGGCAAUGGGGGCAACCCUGACCGAGCAACGCCGCGUGAGUGAAGAAGGUUUUCGGAUCGUAAAGCUCUGUUGUAAGUCAAGAACGAGUGUGAGAGUGGAAAGUUCACACUGUGACGGUAGCUUACCAGAAAGGGACGGCUAACUACGUGCCAGCAGCCGCGGUAAUACGUAGGUCCCGAGCGUUGUCCGGAUUUAUUGGGCGUAAAGCGAGCGCAGGCGGUUUGAUAAGUCUGAAGUUAAAGGCUGUGGCUCAACCAUAGUUCGCUUUGGAAACUGUCAAACUUGAGUGCAGAAGGGGAGAGUGGAAUUCCAUGUGUAGCGGUGAAAUGCGUAGAUAUAUGGAGGAACACCGGUGGCGAAAGCGGCUCUCUGGUCUGUAACUGACGCUGAGGCUCGAAAGCGUGGGGAGCGAACAGGAUUAGAUACCCUGGUAGUCCACGCCGUAAACGAUGAGUGCUAGGUGUUGGAUCCUUUCCGGGAUUCAGUGCCGCAGCUAACGCAUUAAGCACUCCGCCUGGGGAGUACGACCGCAAGGUUGAAACUCAAAGGAAUUGACGGGGGCCCGCACAAGCGGUGGAGCAUGUGGUUUAAUUCGAAGCAACGCGAAGAACCUUACCAGGUCUUGACAUCCCGAUGCUAUUUCUAGAGAUAGAAAGUUACUUCGGUACAUCGGUGACAGGUGGUGCAUGGUUGUCGUCAGCUCGUGUCGUGAGAUGUUGGGUUAAGUCCCGCAACGAGCGCAACCCCUAUUGUUAGUUGCCAUCAUUCAGUUGGGCACUCUAGCGAGACUGCCGGUAAUAAACCGGAGGAAGGUGGGGAUGACGUCAAAUCAUCAUGCCCCUUAUGACCUGGGCUACACACGUGCUACAAUGGUUGGUACAACGAGUUGCGAGUCGGUGACGGCAAGCUAAUCUCUUAAAGCCAAUCUCAGUUCGGAUUGUAGGCUGCAACUCGCCUACAUGAAGUCGGAAUCGCUAGUAAUCGCGGAUCAGCACGCCGCGGUGAAUACGUUCCCGGGCCU
This 1369-nucleotide ribosomal RNA is filed under the name uncultured bacterium. Its description in RNAcentral is "bacterial SSU rRNA". It matches the Rfam family "Bacterial small subunit ribosomal RNA", at positions 28 to 1381 of the family's 1533-position model. The record is from RNAcentral.